CUCAAGUGACUAAGGGGCAGGUGGUGUAUACAACAUGGAUGCACUGGACAAAGGUCUUUGUGAGGAAGAGCAGCUAAACAGGAAGAGAUUUUGAAUCACAAUGGAAAACAAAUACACAACAUAACCUGCUGGCCCAAGAGAGUAGCGCAUGAACUGAGCUAUCCAAACAACCCAUACUCCACACUGGCAGCAAGAAGCUGAGCCACCCCAGCUGCUGCUGUUUGCAGCAGAGCCACCCUGAUGCACAAGCAUAGGCAACCCAAGGCACAGGUGAGUAACCAGUCC
RNAcentral lists this long non-coding RNA (285 nucleotides) under Cricetulus griseus (Chinese hamster). Its description in RNAcentral is "lncRNA (ENSCGRG00000024888.1)". Lineage: Eukaryota; Metazoa; Chordata; Mammalia; Rodentia; Cricetidae. The record is from RNAcentral.